CGAGCUGGCCGGGCAGUCGCUGUUCAUUCUGGUUGUUUAAUCAGAGUGGAGGGAGGAAAGUCCGGGCUCCAGAGGGUAGGGCGCCAGGUAACGCCUGGGGGGCGAAAGCCUACGGAAAGUGCAGCAGAGAGUAGACCGCCUAAGUCAGUAUUCUUUUUUGACGCUUGUUGGAAAAGAAGCAGGCCGGUAAGGGUGAAAGGGUGCGGUAAGAGCGCACCGCAUGGCUGGUAACAGUCCAUGGCACGGUAAACCCCGCCUGGAGCAAGACCAAAUAGGAAUCCUAUAGGUGUGUCCCGCACUGGAUUCGGGUAGGUUGCUUGAGGUGUCUGGUGACAGGCAUCCCAGAUGAAUGACUGCUCAGGCCUGCUUUGGCAGGCUGGACAGAACCCGGCUUACAGGCUGGCUCGCGUC
RNAcentral lists this RNase P RNA (411 nucleotides) under Endozoicomonas elysicola. RNAcentral describes it as "Bacterial RNase P class A". It matches the Rfam family "Bacterial RNase P class A". Rfam says of the family: Ribonuclease P (RNase P) is a ubiquitous endoribonuclease, found in archaea, bacteria and eukarya as well as chloroplasts and mitochondria. Its best characterised activity is the generation of mature 5'-ends of tRNAs by cleaving the 5'-leader elements of precursor-tRNAs. Lineage: Bacteria; Pseudomonadati; Pseudomonadota; Gammaproteobacteria; Oceanospirillales; Endozoicomonadaceae. The record is from Rfam by way of RNAcentral.